UUCGGCCAGGAUGCCACCGCUUCGGUG
RNAcentral lists this unclassified non-coding RNA (27 nucleotides) under Mus musculus (house mouse). RNAcentral describes it as "oocyte_clustered_small_RNA3248". Lineage: Eukaryota; Metazoa; Chordata; Mammalia; Rodentia; Muridae. The record is from RNAcentral.